Molecule: long non-coding RNA, 275 nt
Filed under: Homo sapiens (human)
Lineage: Eukaryota; Metazoa; Chordata; Mammalia; Primates; Hominidae
Description: HSALNT0027935
Source: RNAcentral
GGGUAGGUAUUUAAGAACCAUGAUGACCUAUAACCUUUGACCCAAGGUGAUCUUUACUGGGGGGACCCGUGAAAGAUUGAUUUGAGCAGAGCUGAGUUAGACAAACAAGCCAUUCACAUAACUUCAAAUCUGGAGGCAAAUCAGGUAAAAAUGUGAGCAACCUUUGUGGCCUGGAAUUUCCUGAGACUAAACAGGACCCAACAGAGCAGCCAAUGUCCCUGGCCUUUCAGAAUUCUGCUCAUUCGCAUUAUGACAUUUUGAUGUUGGGUCUUAAU